Molecule: ribosomal RNA, 315 nt
Filed under: uncultured eukaryote
Lineage: Eukaryota
Description: partial 18S ribosomal RNA
Rfam family: Eukaryotic small subunit ribosomal RNA
Source: RNAcentral
CCCUUAGACGUUCUGGGCCGCACGCGCGCUACACUGACCAGUGCAACAAGCAUCCGUCCUUGGCCGACAGGCCCGGGCAAUCUUUGAACGCUGGUCGUGAUGGGGAUAGACUUUUGCAAUUUUUGGUCUUCAACGAGGAAUUCCUAGUAAACGCAAGUCAUCAAUUUGCAUUGAUUACGUCCCUGCCCUUUGUACACACCGCCCGUCGCACCUACCGAUUGAAUGGUCCGGUGAAGCCUCCGGAUUGGCGCGCACCUCGGUGCCGCCGAGAAGUUGGCUAAACCUUACCAUUUAGAGGAAGGUGAAGUCGUAACA